This 236-nucleotide unclassified non-coding RNA is filed under the name uncultured fungus. RNAcentral's name for it is "sequence contains ITS1". The stretch from base 1 to 102 matches the Rfam family "5.8S ribosomal RNA", at positions 50 to 154 of the family's 154-position model. The record is from RNAcentral. Lineage: Eukaryota; Fungi.
AAAAGGCGAAACGUAAUGUGAAUCGCAGACUGUGAAUCAUUGAGUAUUUGAACGCACCUGGCGUCCUGUGUGCCCUCUCGGGGGCUGGGACAUGGUGGGUCGAGGUGGACGCAACGGCGAGUCAGGGACUCGGAGACGGCCGUGGUUGACGGCUGAGAUUGAGGCGCGCAGUGGGCACCAGACGGUGCACAACAGCAACCCCCACUCGACCCACCAAGACUACCCGCCGAACUUAA